CUUGUGUAGAAUAAGUUCAUUAUUUUGAAGCUUGACAAACAAAAAUAUAAAUCCACUUACGAGUGAACUCAUAAAUGAAUAUUUUGAGCUUAGCAAAACAUUUACAACGUGGUGUUCUCUAGCUCAUCGCAUUAAGGAAUUCCACUAACUAAACAGCAUGAUAUAAACUUGUAUAUAAUCAAGCCUUGAACUAAUUUACAAGUAAGCUUCAACUCUAAAUACAGAUUUGUUCAGCCAUGAAAAGUUUUAGUGCCUCGUACAUAAUAGCAAUGAUGGUAGUUCAAAUUGCAUAUGGUGUAUCAAAUAUUCUCAUGAAACUUAAUCCUUUUGCAUAUAUUUUUGCAGUUUAUCGCCACUUAAUAGCUAUUCUUGUUUUAAGCCCUUCAAGUUAAAUGUUAAUACUGUCUGCUAUUUAGGAUGGAAACAAUGAAACUUGGCAGUAAUAGAGGUAAAGCUAAGCUGUUUGGAACACUGGCUUGAUUGGCGGAUCACUUAUUUUUACCUUCUGUAAAGGAAAGCACUUAUUCACAAGUUUUAAGCAGAAGCCCUUAAUCCAGCUCUAUGACACUGAAGGUAUACUCAAUACAAUGAAGAAAAUUUUUAGGUUUUUUUUUCUUCUUCAAUACAUUGCAGCACAACCAAGUUUUAAAAGGUGAGUCAAGGAAUCAUAAGGAAAAU
This 678-nucleotide long non-coding RNA is filed under the name Olea europaea subsp. europaea. The record is from RNAcentral. Lineage: Eukaryota; Viridiplantae; Streptophyta; Magnoliopsida; Lamiales; Oleaceae.